UAAACCCUAACCCUAAAAACCAGAAAUAAAUCCGAGCAGUAAAAACUCUAAUUCCCGACAAACUUCAAACAGCUCUAUCCCUCAACUUCGGUGGAUCCAGACGACGAGCCAGAUACCAAAUUAAAGCUCUUGACGAGACGAAGCCAACGCCGCUAACCCCACAUCAAUCGGAGUUCGGACGCGCCCCCACGCUCAGCUACAAUACAAGCGGAAAAUUUGUUCCAGAAACCAAAAUCUCUCUCAACCAUAUACCAG
Molecule: long non-coding RNA, 255 nt
Filed under: Brassica napus (rape)
Lineage: Eukaryota; Viridiplantae; Streptophyta; Magnoliopsida; Brassicales; Brassicaceae
Description: long non-coding RNA (BNAP_LNC024479)
Source: RNAcentral